RNAcentral lists this ribosomal RNA (164 nucleotides) under uncultured bacterium. RNAcentral's name for it is "partial 16S ribosomal RNA". It matches the Rfam family "Bacterial small subunit ribosomal RNA", at positions 355 to 511 of the family's 1533-position model. The record is from RNAcentral.
UAGGGAAUCUUCCACAAUGGGCGCAAGCCUGAUGGAGCAACACCGCGUGAGUGAAGAAGGGUUUCGGCUCGUAAAGCUCUGUUGUUAAAGAAGAACACGUAUGAGAGUAACUGUUCAUACGUUGACGGUAUUUAACCAGAAAGUCACGGCUAAAUACGUGCCCG